GGCCCCUAAACAAAUAUAUGCUAGUUCAGUGAUAAUGAACGCCAUAUUUAUUUCCAAAUUGUACACAAGAAACUAAAAUUAAAAAUAAUACAAGACUAACAAAGGCCAGAGGCUCCUGACUUGGGAUAGGCGCAAAAAUGCGGCGGGGUUAAACAUGUUUGUGAGAUCUCAACCCUCCCCCUAUACCUCUAGCCAAUGUAGAAAAGUAAACGUAUAACAAUACGGACAUUAAAAUCCAGUUCAAGAG
RNAcentral lists this long non-coding RNA (247 nucleotides) under Mytilus galloprovincialis (Mediterranean mussel). Lineage: Eukaryota; Metazoa; Mollusca; Bivalvia; Mytilida; Mytilidae. The record is from RNAcentral.